AUGAAUUUGCUUUCUUCACUUUAUAUCUUUGCCCUUGGUACUUUAUUUAUGCUAUCACUCUGUCAUUCCUUUUCUUACUCUCAGCGGGUGGAUGAAUUUGUUAUGCCAUUUCAUGUUAUAGAUCAGAUUCUAGGGAUCUUUGCUUUAUGUCUCAUUCUUUUCUCCAAACACGUUUUUUUCCCUCCGCCGUGUGUGAUCAUUUUUCCUUGCAAUUAUUGUGGUCCCAAUUCUCUGAACCAACAUGGUCCUAAGACAACCUAUGAAUUGGUUUAUCAUUCAUUCUCAUUAUUAUUAACUCCAUUACUAUUUAUGAUGUAG
Molecule: ribosomal RNA, 318 nt
Filed under: Triticum aestivum (bread wheat)
Lineage: Eukaryota; Viridiplantae; Streptophyta; Magnoliopsida; Poales; Poaceae
Description: partial small subunit ribosomal RNA
Source: RNAcentral